Molecule: long non-coding RNA, 745 nt
Filed under: Prunus dulcis (almond)
Lineage: Eukaryota; Viridiplantae; Streptophyta; Magnoliopsida; Rosales; Rosaceae
Description: sRNA ncRNA
Source: RNAcentral
AUAACCCAAAACUCGACAAUUGUACUUUUUAAAAAAUUUUAAUUAAUAAGAUAAAAUACCUUUAUUACCCUUUCAACAUAAAUUGGAAUUCUAAUCUCGUUAUCUGGCGUUGAAGCCAAAUCAGAACUCAUUUCACGAGCUCCAAUCUCUCAUAUUCAUCUUCAACCUCAAUUUUCAAUUUUUGUUCUUCCUUUUCUUGUUUUGAAAUCAUCUUUUUCUUUGGACUUUUUGAUUGUGCGGAUGUCUAUGUCUCUUCUCCAUUGCUGGCUCUGACACUUUUUGAAGGGACCAAGCCUCAACUUGCCAAAUCGAAUCAUCUCGAUCUCUCCAAGUUCAUUCUCCUAUACUUUCUUCUUCAUCUUUUUGUUUUUGCUUGUAGAUUUGUGGACGAAGGUAUAAGAUUGAGAUUAUGGUGGAAUUUUACACUGACAUCAAAGGAACCUUGAUCUCAACAAGUCGUCUCGGUGGAAACAACAGUCGAGGACCUCGCUGGUUGUUCCAGAGUACUGCAUAAUGACAAUGACUCAUCAUCUUCAGUUGUCGAGGAAGACAGGGAUUUCGCCCCGUUGCCGUCGUCAUUGUUGAUUGGUUUGGACUUGGAAUUUUUGAUCUUUUACUUCAAUUAUGUGUUUCUCUUCGGAUUUAAGAUGAUUUGAGGAAUGUAUUUUAAGCUUUGAUGAUUGAUUUGUCUUUUGUUACUAUUUAUGUUAUAGAUCUCAUUUUUGUUUAACAAUGUACUUCUAUG